GAUGAACGCUGGCGGCGUGCCUAAUACAUGCAAGUCGAGCGAACGGACGAGAAGCUUGCUUCUCUGAUGUUAGCGGCGGACGGGUGAGUAACACGUGGAUAACCUACCUAUAAGACUGGGAUAACUUCGGGAAACCGUAGCUAAUACCGGAUAAUAUUUUGAACCGCAUGGUUCAAAAGUGAAAGACGGUCUUGCUGUCACUUAUAGAUGGAUCCGCGCUGCAUUAGCUAGUUGGUAAGGUAACGGCUUACCAAGGCAACGAUGCAUAGCCGACCUGAGAGGGUGAUCGGCCACACUGGAACUGAGACACGGUCCAGACUCCUACGGGAGGCAGCAGUAGGGAAUCUUCCGCAAAGGGCGAAAGCCUGACGGAGCAACGCCGCGUGAGUGAUGAAGGUCUUCGGAUCGUAAAACUCUGUUAUUAGGGAAGAACAUAUGUGUAAGUAACUGUGCACAUCUUGACGGUACCCAAUCAGAAAGCCACGGCUAACUACGUG
RNAcentral lists this ribosomal RNA (497 nucleotides) under uncultured bacterium. RNAcentral's name for it is "partial 16S ribosomal RNA". It matches the Rfam family "Bacterial small subunit ribosomal RNA", at positions 28 to 507 of the family's 1533-position model. The record is from RNAcentral.